Long non-coding RNA from Triticum aestivum (bread wheat), 381 nucleotides. RefSeq lists it as uncharacterized. The record is from RefSeq and is a predicted model, not a curated record. Lineage: Eukaryota; Viridiplantae; Streptophyta; Magnoliopsida; Poales; Poaceae. The transcript has 3 exons.
GGACACAUGGCAUCGAGUUCGCCUAGGGCCUCCCGAAACACAGGGCCGGCCCUGCACGGGUGCUGCCCAGUAUGAAGUUUGGUUUGGUGAUGCUGGAAAAGGCACAGAUAAAGGUUUUUGUCUCGCUAAAGAUAUGCACAACGACCUUCGCGUCUUUCUCCCGCUGGAUUUACCCGAGAGGGCUGUGGCUCUUGCUCUUGCUGUGUCUCUGGACCAUGACUGCUUCUCCAGGAGAUUGGGCUGGGUUCUUCGUCUUUUAGGAGCAUGAGGGAAUUGCAGAAAACACUGCUGUUGGGGCAGACCUAGAAAUGGUAGUCACUGGAAUUCAAGGGAUCAAAGUAUCAUGGUAUAGCCACACUGGAGGGGAUGACUAAUUCGUGC